AGCAGUGAAACACAAGAAGGUGAAUUUGACAAAACAAUGAACAAUUCUUCAUAUAUCAUUUCAGAUAUUGUCCUACAACCUUUAUUGGAGACAAUUUGACGGUGCCAAGAAACCAUCUUGAAGCAUAAUGCAGAAUAAAUUAACCAUGGCCUUUUGGAUUAGGAAAUCUGUGCUGCUCCUCAUCCCCUUUUCCUUCCAUAAAGAAAGAUAUGUGCUGAUGGUCUUCCCAAGAGAAAAUGAAUCCCAUGGAACUUAUCCCACGGUGAGAUGCGGCAACCAGGGCUCCAUGGAGAGGCUGCAUUUCAGUUCCAGCAAAGCAGUUUACCCUCUGAGGCCCUCGCUGUCAGCUCAGCGCUCAAACAUCCGUGCCCUGCUGUCGGGCCUGACAGUCUUCAAUUGUUCAUUCUCUGAUUCCACCUCACCAGUUAAUGGAAGUGAAUCUUCUGAGGGGGAGAGAGACCGUCCCUAUUGA
RNAcentral lists this long non-coding RNA (472 nucleotides) under Ornithorhynchus anatinus (platypus). RNAcentral's name for it is "lncRNA (ENSOANG00000039392.1)". Lineage: Eukaryota; Metazoa; Chordata; Mammalia; Monotremata; Ornithorhynchidae. The record is from RNAcentral.